This is an unclassified non-coding RNA of Capra hircus (goat), 116 nucleotides long. NCBI's taxonomy places the organism in Eukaryota, Metazoa, Chordata, Mammalia, Artiodactyla, Bovidae. The record is from Ensembl.
AAUUCAGAAUCCAUUUCUAGAAGAGGUAAUAAUGAGGCCUUCAAGAGGCCUGAUAAGGACUGUCCCUCUCCCCCAGCCUACCUCUGUUGGUCCCUGUUCUGAAAUUCCCAUUCAGG